This 444-nucleotide ribosomal RNA is filed under the name uncultured soil bacterium. RNAcentral describes it as "bacterial SSU rRNA". It matches the Rfam family "Bacterial small subunit ribosomal RNA", at positions 26 to 518 of the family's 1533-position model. The record is from RNAcentral.
AGAGCGAACGCUGGCGGCAGGCCUAACACAUGCAAGUCGAACGGACCCUUCGGGGUUAGUGGCGGACGGGUGAGUAACACGUGGGAACGUGCCUUUUGGUUCGGAAUAGCUCCUGGAAACGGGUGGUAAUGCCGAAUGUGCCCUUCGGGGGAAAGAUUUAUCGCCAUUAGAGCGGCCCGCGUCUGAUUAGCUAGUUGGUGAGGUAAUGGCUCACCAAGGCGACGAUCAGUAGCUGGUCUGAGAGGAUGACCAGCCACAUUGGGACUGAGACACGGCCCAAACUCCUACGGAGGCAGCAGUGGGGAAUCUUGCGCAAUGGGCGAAAGCCUGACGCAGCCAUGCCGCGUGAAUGAUGAAGGUCUUAGGAUUGUAAAAUUCUUUCACCGGGACGAUAAUGACGGUACCCGGAGAAGAAGCCCCGGACUAACUCGUGCCAGCAGCCGC